This 740-nucleotide ribosomal RNA is filed under the name uncultured bacterium. RNAcentral describes it as "bacterial SSU rRNA". It matches the Rfam family "Bacterial small subunit ribosomal RNA", at positions 761 to 1501 of the family's 1533-position model. The record is from RNAcentral.
GUGGGGAGCAAACAGGAUUAGAUACCCUGGUAGUCCACGCCGUAAACGAUGUCUACUUGGAGGUUGGUGUCUUGAACACUGGCUUUCGGAGCUAACGCGUUAAGUAGACCGCCUGGGGAGUACGGUCGCAAGAUUAAAACUCAAAUGAAUUGACGGGGGCCCGCACAAGCGGUGGAGCAUGUGGUUUAAUUCGAUGCAACGCGAAGAACCUUACCUACUCUUGACAUCCACGGAAUCCUGCAGAGAUGCGGGAGUGCCUUCGGGAACCGUGAGACAGGUGCUGCAUGGCUGUCGUCAGCUCGUGUUGUGAAAUGUUGGGUUAAGUCCCGCAACGAGCGCAACCCUUAUCCUUGUUUGCCAGCACUUCGGGUGGGAACUCCAGGGAGACUGCCGGUGAUAAACCGGAGGAAGGUGGGGACGACGUCAAGUCAUCAUGGCCCUUACGAGUAGGGCUACACACGUGCUACAAUGGCAUAUACAGAGGGCAGCAAGACCGCGAGGUGGAGCGAAUCCCACAAAGUAUGUCGUAGUCCGGAUUGGAGUCUGCAACUCGACUCCAUGAAGUCGGAAUCGCUAGUAAUCGUGGAUCAGAAUGCCACGGUGAAUACGUUCCCGGGCCUUGUACACACCGCCCGUCACACCAUGGGAGUGGGCUGCACCAGAAGUAGAUAGCUUAACCUUCGGGAGGGCGUUUACCACGGUGUGGUUCAUGACUGGGGUGAAGUCGUAACAAGGUACCA